CGGGGGAUAACUACGCGAAAGCGUAGCUAAUACCGCAUACGCCCUACGGGGGAAAGCAGGGGAUCGCAAGACCUUGCACUAUUAGAGCGGCCGAUAUCGGAUUAUCUAGUUGGUGGGGUAAUGGCUCACCAAGGCGACUAUCCGUAUCUGGUUUGAGAGGACGACCACCCACACUGGGACUGAUACACGGCCCACACUCCUACGGGAGGCAGCAGUGGGGAAUUUUGGACAAUGGGGGAAACCCUGAUCCACCCAUCCCGCGUGUGCGAUGAAGGCCUUCGGGUUGUAAAGCACUUUUGGCAGGAAAGAAACGUCAUGGGCUAAUACCCCGUGAAACUGACGGUACCUGCAUAAUAGUCACCGGCUAACUACGUGCCAGCACCCGCGGUAAUACAUAAGGUGCAAGCGUUAAUCAUAAUUACUGGGCGUAAAGCGUGCGCGUGCGGUUCGGAAAGAAAGAUGUGAAAUCCCAGAGCUUAUCUUUGGAACUGCAUUUUUAACUACCGAUCUAGACUGUGUCAGAUGGAGGUGGAAUUCCGCGUGUAGCAGUGAUAUGCGUAUAUAUGCGGAGGAACACCGAUGGCGAACGCAGCCUCCUGGGAUAACACUGACUCUCAUGCACGAGAGCGUGGGGAGCACACGAGAUUAUAUACCCUGGUACUCCA
RNAcentral lists this ribosomal RNA (665 nucleotides) under soil bacterium Thia-S1T-M1LLLSSL-2. RNAcentral describes it as "bacterial SSU rRNA". It matches the Rfam family "Bacterial small subunit ribosomal RNA", at positions 137 to 797 of the family's 1533-position model. The record is from RNAcentral.